UGCCUGAUGGAGGGGGAUAACUACUGGAAACGGUAGCUAAUACCGCAUAACGUCGCAAGACCAAAGUGGGGGACCUUCGGGCCUCACGCCAUCAGAUGUGCCCAGAUGGGAUUAGCUAGUAGGUGGGGUAAUGGCUCACCUAGGCGACGAUCCCUAGCUGGUCUGAGAGGAUGACCAGCCACACUGGAACUGAGACACGGUCCAGACUCCUACGGGAGGCAGCAGUGGGGAAUAUUGCACAAUGGGCGCAAGCCUGAUGCAGCCAUGCCGCGUGUGUGAAGAAGGCCUUCGGGUUGUAAAGCACUUUCAGCGAGGAGGAAGGCAGUAAGGUUAAUAACCUUGCUGAUUGACGUUACUCGCAGAAGAAGCACCGGCUAACUCCGUGCCAGCAGCCGCGGUAAUACGGAGGGUGCAAGCGUUAAUCGGAAUGACUGGGCGUAAAGCGCACGCAGGCGGUUUGUUAAGUUGGAUGUGAAAUCCCCGGGCUUAACCUGGGAACUGCAUUCAAAACUGGCAAGCUAGAGUCUCGUAGAGGGGGG
This 539-nucleotide ribosomal RNA is filed under the name uncultured Pectobacterium sp. RNAcentral's name for it is "bacterial SSU rRNA". It matches the Rfam family "Bacterial small subunit ribosomal RNA", at positions 127 to 661 of the family's 1533-position model. Lineage: Bacteria; Pseudomonadati; Pseudomonadota; Gammaproteobacteria; Enterobacterales; Pectobacteriaceae. The record is from RNAcentral.